RNAcentral lists this long non-coding RNA (2790 nucleotides) under Homo sapiens (human). RNAcentral's name for it is "non-protein coding lnc-PERP-1:3". Lineage: Eukaryota; Metazoa; Chordata; Mammalia; Primates; Hominidae. The record is from RNAcentral.
GCAUUUGCUAUGGCCUCCACUCUUGCUCCUCCGGAUGACCUCCACAUUGCUGGCUUCUUGUUGGAUAUAAAGAAGAUGACAAUUAGCGUGUGGGGAGUCCCCAAGACAUUUUGAUGUUAAACGUGGGUCCUUCUUCUUGACAAGGGAUACACACCUACCUACCGAGAGACCUCCAAACAGAGACAUCAACACAGAAACCUCCGCAGAGAUAACCAGAUCUCCAUAUGCAAACCCAUGUAAAAAGAAACCUAGAGAAACAGAUGCCCAGAUGAAGAGGGGUAUGAGUAUAACCUUUUGUUUCCAGACAGAUUCUUGGCUGACGUUUCUGUCAGUGGUGUGAAAGGACAUUUACCCAGAUUCUAUAGAUAUUUUGGUUAUGCACUCAACAAACCUACAAUGAAACUACCAGAAUACAAAAGCAAUUGUGAACUCCAGAGAGUGCUAGAAAACAUUAUGGAAGAGGGUAUAGUUUAUGUUAAUUAUAGAGGACUAAAGAGAUGUAGAAUAGGAGAGCUGAAAAAGCCUCCACUUCCAGUGGCUCUUAGAGUGUAAUUAGUCCAAGGGACAGCAAGCUGCCUUCUAGCAGAAUCGUUGUGAUCCCAAAGCCCACAUGACUGGGGCCUCUCUCUGGUCCUUUAUACAGUAAUUAAUAUUUAAAAGAUCUCGCUAAAGCCCUGUCAAGUCCUGAAGCAAGAUUUUGAAAAAUAAAAAAACUCAUAAAACACAAAAUAGAACAAAACAAUGAGCUCUGAGUUUGCUUUGUUGAAAGCAAUGGGUUGAAUUGUGUCUCCCCAUAAUAUGUAUUUUGAAGUCCUAACCUCUAGUACCUUAGGGUGUGACCUUAUUUGGAGAUGCAGACAUUACAGAAGUAAUCAAGUUAAAGUGAGGUCAUUGGGAUGGGCCCUAAUCUGAUACAACUGGUAAUUUGGACACAGACACAUUCAGGCAGAACACCAUGUGAACAUAAAGAUGGUCAGGUACAAGCCAAAGGGGAGAGGCCUGGAACAGAUCCUUCCUUCACAGGCCUCAGAAGGAACCAACCCUGCCAACAUCUUGAUCUUGGACUUCUGGCCUCCAGACCUGUGAGACAACAAAUUUGUGAUCUUUUGUUAUGACAAUCCUAGCAAAAUACACUGUGACACCCAGUUUCUAAUCUGAUGACAAACGGAGGCAUCUACAAUCUCUGAGGGUGUGUGCAUUUGGGCACUCAUUUCACCACUGACUUCAUUUAUGUCCUAUUCUUUGUUUUCCAUUUGUUUCAUUUUUCUAAUUUUAUCUUCCAUUUUUAAAAAAGUUUACUGUACUAGACGUAACUUUUUAAGCUGCCUGAAAUUCUUCUUAGGUUUACAAAUGAUAUAAACUGGUAAAUAAAGAUGAUCAGACCUUAAGCACAUAUAGCACACAUGGCUGGGAUGAAACAACUAAGUAGCAAAAUAUUAAUUUAUAAAACAAAUUAAACAGCAAAAAAAGAAAAUAGUAAAAUCCAACUCUCCUGGACCAUUGGAGGAGGAACUGCAAGGGAUGAUGAAGAUUUCAUAGAGCAAAUGAUUUCUACACUCUGGGAAAGAAUUCUUCAGGCAGUACACCACUUUAAAAUGGUGCUUGACUCACCAAAACAUCAGAGCCGUCUUCAACUUUUCACAACGCAGAGCAGAGAAAGAGGAAGAUCACUUGUAGAUGGAGUGUGGCAGGAAUUUUGUGAAGUGUAUAAAGAAGUUAGCAAGUGUAUAAAGAAGAUAGCCAUUUACUAAGCAUCUGCUAUGUAGCAGGCACUCUGCUAGACAUUUGUUAUGGAAUGAAUCAUUUAAUCCUUGUAAUAAACUUGCAAGGAUAUAUUUUAGCCCACCCCCUACCUAAAACCAAUAAAUAUGUGGCUCAGAAAAGUAAAUUAACUGGUCUAAGAGCAAGUAAUUAGUAAAAAGUUGAGCUGGGAUUUGAUAUAAAGAAAAAUCUGAUCUAAACUUGAUAAUAUUUCUGCUUCCCCAAAUUGCCUCCUUAAAGUUUACACAUUGUUUGGUCUCUUCAAUACACAUCAAAAUUAUCAAUACCUAUAGAAAUGUCAAUGAAAAGUCUUCCUUUAAAUUAGAAUAUUUAGAAACUUUAGGCCCAGAGACUAAAAAGUAUGUGAAAUUAGUAUAAAAGUAUGUAAAAUGUUUGUAAAGAAAUGAUGAUAACUUCGUAGACCAAUGUGGCAUGUAAAACAUGUGGGCCACAGAGGGAGAUUAAGAAAAAAAUAUAUGCAAUCAUAAUAAUAAAAGUGGAGUUACUCCAGACUAUGCUUUUUGCCAAUUCUUUGGUGAGAAGGGAUUGGUAGUUAAUUAUAGAACCACUUUCUAUAUUAAUUCUAGAUAUUGUAUUCUAAUCCUUAGAAAGUAGGCUGUGGAAGAACUAAUAAUUGCCCUCAAGGACCCAUUCUCUUCUUCUCAUAAGAGAAUCUAUGGUUGCCCAACUAAAGCUUCUAUUUCGCAGCACUCAUUGCAGAUAGUUAUAGCUAUGGACUCAGUUCUGGCCAGUGGACUCUGAAUAAAGGUACUAUGUACACUGUUGGCUGUGCUCUUAAAGCUAAGGGAUGUGCCAUCUCAUCCCCUGUGCUCUCUUUGUUGGCUGGGAAGCUGGCAGGAUGAUAGGAGUUAAGCCAGCCAUUAUGGACUUUCAGAUGGAAACCAGCUGUUGAGGAUGAGAGAGCGACAAAAAGAAGACCGUCAAGAUUGUGGGGCUAAUUUACCAGCCUGAAUUGCCAACCUGUGUUUUUGUAUUACAGGCAAAUAAAGUAUGUGUUUUUAAAGUCGC